This 646-nucleotide long non-coding RNA is filed under the name Ricinus communis (castor bean). RNAcentral's name for it is "long non-coding RNA (RCOM_LNC003148)". The record is from RNAcentral. Lineage: Eukaryota; Viridiplantae; Streptophyta; Magnoliopsida; Malpighiales; Euphorbiaceae.
CUUGGUCAAUUGGUGGACGUCUCCUUCGUCUAGGCUCUCCUUGUAAUUGGUUAAGGAUGCCAUCAUGCCUCUCCAAUUUUUCAUUGACUCCCGCCAUCAUAUUAAACAUUCUUUCAAAUUGUUGUUGCAUAGCUUGAAUCACAUGAUCAUAUGUAGAAGAAGAACUUGUGUCUUUUGACAUGAUUGUAAAACCUAAAAUUUUAAUAAAAGAAAAUAGAAAGAAACAAUCUCACAACACUCCCUCACGUGUUUCACUCAAAAUUGAUGUAUACCACUCGUGUUUACACUCAAUUUUGGCUAUUUUUUUUAAUGAUCUCACACUCUUGCCUUUUACCUCUCAAAUUUGCCUUUUGAUUUUUUAGAUGAACUAAGUUUCUCAAUCAAACAAAAUUUCAAGAAUGUAGUAAUCAAUGAUAAAUAAAAAAAAUAAGGUAGCAAAUGAACAAUUUGUAGCAAAUAGGCUAAUAGAAAUGAAAAACAAAGAUAGAUCAUUAAAGAACACAAAGAGACAGAAUUAUAAAGAUAGAUCUCAAUGGAAUAUGAAGAUUCAAUAAUUUCUUUUUUUUUUAUGUAAUUUGAGAUCUAACACAAGAAUAUCAAAGAUAAAAUUAUUUUUUCUAUGGACGGAUUUCUUUUUUUUUUUUUU